Molecule: ribosomal RNA, 890 nt
Filed under: Hymenoscyphus waikaia
Lineage: Eukaryota; Fungi; Ascomycota; Leotiomycetes; Helotiales; Helotiaceae
Description: eukaryotic LSU rRNA
Rfam family: Eukaryotic large subunit ribosomal RNA
Source: RNAcentral
UAGCAUAUCAAUAAGCGGAGGAAAAGAAACCAACAGGGAUUACCUCAGUAACGGCGAGUGAAGCGGUAACAGCUCAAAUUUGAAAUCUGGCUCUCUUAGGGUCCGAGUUGUAAUUUGUAGAAGAUGCUUCGGGUGCGGCUCCGGUCUAAGUUCCUUGGAACAGGAUGUCAUAGAGGGUGAGAACCCCGUAUGCGACCGGUGGCUUGCGCCCAUGUGAAGCUCUUUCGACGAGUCGAGUUGUUUGGGAAUGCAGCUCUAAAUGGGUGGUAUAUUUCAUCUAAAGCUAAAUAUUGGCCAGAGACCGAUAGCGCACAAGUAGAGUGAUCGAAAGAUGAAAAGCACUUUGGAAAGAGAGUUAAACAGUACGUGAAAUUGUUGAAAGGGAAGCGCUUGCAACCAGACUUGGGCGCCAUCGAUCAUCUCAGGUUCUCCUGGGUGCACUCGGUGGUGUUCAGGCCAGCAUCGGUUCUGGUGGUUGGAUAAAGGCCUUGGGAAUGUGGCUCCUCUCGGGGAGUGUUAUAGCCCUCGGUGCAAUGCAGCCUACUAGGACCGAGGACCGCGCUUCGGCUAGGAUGCUGGCGUAAUGGUUGUAAGCGACCCGUCUUGAAACACGGACCAAGGAGUCUAACAUCUAUGCGAGUGUUUGGGUGCUAAACCCAUACGCGUAAUUAACGUGAACGGAGGUGAGAACCCGUCAGGGUGCAUCAUCGACCGAUCCUGAUGUCUUCGGAUGGAUUUGAGUAAGAGCAUAGCUGUUGGGACCCGAAAGAUGGUGAACUAUGCCUAAAUAGGGUGAAGCCAGAGGAAACUCUGGUGGAGGCUCGCAGCGGUUCUGACGUGCAAAUCGAUCGUCAAAUUUGGGUAUAGGGGCGAAAGACUAAUCGAACCAU